Molecule: unclassified non-coding RNA, 247 nt
Filed under: Hevea brasiliensis (rubber tree)
Lineage: Eukaryota; Viridiplantae; Streptophyta; Magnoliopsida; Malpighiales; Euphorbiaceae
Source: RNAcentral
AUACAGGCACUUGAGGUGGUGCUUGUGUCUUAUCAGGCUCCUUCUUCUGCAUCUUAAUGUUUUUCUAGUUGUAAUAGAAAAGGAACGGGUUGAACAGAGAAAUGGAGCCAAAACAUUAGAAAGAAAAUGCUGGAAUGGUACAUAAGAUAUACAAACCAGUAAGUUCAUGACUGCGAAAUGGAACCUGCGGUGCUGGCGAGGGAAAGGGAGAUUAAAAGAUCCUUCUGAUUCAGAACUUCAAAGUGGG